Long non-coding RNA from Alexandromys fortis (reed vole), 11023 nucleotides. RefSeq lists it as uncharacterized. NCBI's taxonomy places the organism in Eukaryota, Metazoa, Chordata, Mammalia, Rodentia, Cricetidae. The record is from RefSeq and is a predicted model, not a curated record. The transcript is spliced from 7 exons.
UAACAAGCACCCCCAGUCACCACCCCACCUUCCUGACUCCCUAAACUGAGAAUUUUAUGAGCCUACCAUAUUUGGAAUAUCUUAUAGCUUAUGUCUACAAAAUAAUGGACACAUUUUUGGAUUCCUUUUACCAACUCAUUGCUGAACAAAGCAACUAGAGGGGACCCAUAACUGGUUCUAGCAGACAUCAAUUGCCCUGGCCCCCCUCUAAUAAUGAGCCCCUAAACAAGGGAAUCAGCCAGCGUUACAUCUUGUAAGGACAAACAGAAGUGUGCAGUAGCGUUAUCACUAAGCCAAUACCAUUAAAGGCCAGGGUUUAUUGACACUUCAGGUGACUAGAUGAGGCCUCUCCACGCUGAGCUAAUGAGGAGAUCCUCUCCAUUACCUCUUAUCGAGAUUAGCAGCACCCCCAGGCACCCGGUGGAAGUGGAAAUUACUGGGCAAGCAUUGACAUGGUCCAGAUGCUGUCUCUUAGUCAUAAUGCACGCACUUGUGGACACAACCACAGCCUUGAAAGUAGAGCUUCUAAACGUGUUGUUUUUCUCUGUUUGAAAAACCUGCACUCUCAAACAUUGUGCUGUAUUUCACAGAGUGAUGCAGAACAAAUUUUCUGUAGCAAGUCUCUAUUACUUGCUAUAGGCACAUACAUAUACACAAAUAUGCAACCAGCCUUGCUCACACACAUACACAUGCUCUCUUUCACACAUAUAUGCUCACACAUACAUACGCUCACAUAUACACAAUGCAUUCACACGUACUUACACAGACAUACACACAUAGACUCUCAACACAUGCACAUACUUAUACACACACAUUUUCUCUCACACACACACACUGUCACACAUACAUGUUCACUCAAACACUUUCACAUACACACAUGCUUUUACACACUCACACAUGCAGACAUUCACACACACAUAUGCAUCUUAACCCACAUACUUUCAUAUUUGCACUCACACUCACACACUCGUACAUGCACACGCACACACAUGAACAUACGCUUGUUUUUCCUGUUCAGUCUCUCGUAGGAACCCCACUGCAGAUGUGUGCUGACAGGCUCUGUUUUUCAGCCCUGAUCAUCUAAUCAUCUCUGUAAGCUUUUCUGUGGGAGUCACAUUCAUGCUGAAAGCCCAAUUCAAGCAGCAAGCGAGGCCUCGCCGAGUCAACAAGAAACUCCUAAUAUUGGCCAUGACUGCAACUCCCACAGAAACAGAAGGAAGAAGAACGCCAGAGUAGAGAAUAUUCUAUAUUCCCUCCAGAACCAGUGACCAAUGGACAGUUUUUAAUUUUAUCAGGGCCAUGUGUCAGAAAAUACUCCACAAUAUUUCACAGUAAAGACCAACUCCCAAACCAGGAAAUUAAAUGGAUUUUAGUUGAAGUAGUUGCUAACACGUGAGGAGGAAGGUCAGAUUGAAAGACAAUUGAUUUCUGUGAUUGAUAGUGGGCUUUCCCAGAUAUCCGUGAGCACAGUAAUCAUAAUUCUUGGACAACCCAGAAACACAUGGCAAAAAGGAAAAGGUCUUGAGGGAGGUCAGUUCAAAAGUGAAAGAGGGGCUUCCUGCCCCUAACUUUCGUGGCUAUCUGAGGAUUGGAACACGUAGGUAAAAUUUCCCACAGAUGUUUUGCUACCAUUUGAACACCAAGUUUGUUUCCUGUUACCUGUCAGCUUGACUCUGUGUUUUAUGUCUCGGUUACAGCAGGGGUCAUUAGAAGUUUGUCUGCUGUAAGUGAACACAGAAUAGGAAGAUGCUCCUGGGAAAUAUGUUUGCGCAUGUCACACGAAAGCAGGUUUCACUCUGACAAAAAAAUGUGAAGGAAAGGAUCUAAUGUGCUGAGAGCUCAAAACUAUCUGUUAAUAUAAUGAAAUGUGAUUCAUCCUUGUGUGAUUUUUAUAUUCAAAUGACAGAAACUUCAUUUGCAAUGCUAUCUCCUCUAGCAAGCGGUGGGAUAAAAAAGAAACCUUACUGAAAAGAAAUGUAGUUAUAGCCCGUUUCAAUAAACAUUUACCAAAGGUUCAUCUAGGGCAAAAAAGCAGUCUUUUAAGAAUGGCAGUUAAUACAAAGAGCCACCUAAUGGUGAGGGGUGCAUAGCCCUUUCUGUUAGGAAAUAGGAAAGGACUCUAGGGGGACAAGAAGCGAUACCAGCCGUUCAGAGCAGCCAGGUGUGAGGAAGAGCGAUGCUCUGAUGUGUGAACAUCUGUGAGGUGUGACUUGGAGUCCGUGGGAGCCUCCUAUAAAUGAAUGAAGCAGAAUCAUCUGGAACAGUUAACAGGAUGGACUGUGGAUGCUUUCAGCCUUUCCCUUUGCAUGGAAGUACCUGUCCGACCAUUUCAUUCAUACGGGGUCUGUCUUCUGCUCUGCUACCAUUGUAACCAUCUAGGCAUUCAGAUUUGCGCCAUCUGGAUACAAUCUUCGAUGAAAAGAGAUGAAGAUUCAAAUAGGGUGAAGAUUGGAAGGUAGACACACAUAAUAUACCAUUGUUGGUGAAAGAUUUCCAUUUGCUUUCAAACAAGAAUGAGUGGUGAACGAGAAGACCCUGAUUCCUGUCUGAGAUGAAGAAGAAGUCACUCCUACACUGUCCCUUAUCUGGAAAUGAAGAAGGAAUAUGUCAGAACCUGUUUACAUCCUUCCCUGAUGGGAGCUGUGAUCCAUCACUGUGGAUCUCAUGAAAGCUUUGGUGAUCUCAGAGACCUAAACUAGGUCCUCAGAGCCUCCUCUGGGCACCGGGGGUCCUGCUUGUGCAGGCAAACAAUGAGAAUGAAUAUAAGAAGAGCUAACUGCACAUUUCCACUGCUUCUGUUUCUUGGCUAACUUGCAAACGUUGAAGAUUUGGAUAUCAAUGAGUUCUCUUGCUUAAGGAGAAGUGGUGAGCGAGCAGGGGCAGGGCUGAUCUGUCCACACACUUUGGUCACCAAGAGAACAAACGAGCCUCUUUGGGAUACAGUACCAAAUCAUCUCUCUGGCGUUUUAAUUCUUCCAAACAAUAAAUCCUGCCAUCCUUCUGCAUCGCUUUUAAAGACAAACUUAUAAAAUGCUAUUUUGGAGAACCAAAUGAGAUCAAUUAUACCCAGCAGGAAUGAUAUCUAAAUAAGUUGUUCUAGUUAUGAUUAAAACUUUCAGUUGAGAGUUCUGUACGCUCAUUAACAGGAAAAUGGCAUCUUACCCUAUAAACGUGAAAUUAGAGUAAACUGGGCCAUUUAGCUGACAUAAAUCAUUUUGUAUCAUUGCUGUAUUUAGAAAAUUGUACACUCCAAAAUCUUCCUAUUGUAGGAAUUUAUUUGGUGGGUAAAGUGCCAUUCACCUUUUCCACAGCCUCACCCAAAGAAAUACACCGCCUGGGUAGUUAGAGAAUUCCGCACUUUAAAGGAUACAGUUGAUUUAAUGAAAGCCACUUUCUUUCGAAAACCAUGCUUGUUUUUCUAUGGAUGGUUUUACAAACAGCAUGCUAUCUUGGCAAUUUAAAGAAAUCUGCUAAUUUAAUCACAUUUGAACUCUGUUAGCAUUGUUUCUGUGGGUUUUUUUUUUUUUUUUUUUUUUUUUGUCUUACAGUGAUGGCUUUAUUCUGUAGAUAUCUUAACUUACUCCAUGCCUGUGUUUCUGAAACAGAAACUUAUGGGCCAGGUAAAUAAUAAUGAGCAGGCAGGCUCUGCAUUGGUUCAUAGCACUUGGGCUUGGGUUCUCAACCUGUGGGUCACAACCCCAUUGGUGGCUGAAUGACCCUUUCACAGGGGUCAAAUAGCAGAUAGUUUGUCUAUCGGAUAGUUACAUUACUAUUUAUAACAGUAACAAAAUUACAUUUAUGAAAUAGCAAAGAAAAUAAUUGUAUGGUUGGGGGAGUCACCAUAACAUAAAGAACAGUACAAGAACUUGCCUUAGACAAGUUGACAACCACUGAUUUAGAGUCUGGGAAGCUCUAGAAAGGUCCGUGAAAGAGUCAGCAUCCUGAAGCCUGUAUAGUGUGCAUGAAAUAGCAGAAAGCACCUUAGCAAAGAGGAGAGAGAGGAGGAGGCAGAACUGGCCUUUUUUUUUUUUUUAUCAAGAACCCUCUCUGAAUGACAGAAGCAGUCAAGGCUUGAGGGCUGUGUCCUCGUAGCCAUCCCCAGAAAGCCCCCACCUUUUCAUACUGUCACAAUGCUGAUUAAAUUUUAGUAGGAGUCUUGGGGAAAAGGUCAAACAAUAACACAAGGAAAACAGGAAAAGGCUAAAAGAUAGAAACUAUUAGUAUUAUUGGGGGGGGAGGAUUUUUCGAGACAGGGUUUCUCCAUAGCUUUUUGGUUCCUGUCCUGAAACUAGCUCUUGUAGACCAGGCUGGCCUCGAACUCACAGAGAUCUGCCUGCCUCUGCCUCCUGAGUGCUGGGAAUAAAGGUGUGCGCCACCACCACCCGGCAGAAAACUAUUAUUGUAGACUCAUUUUGACCCUCUACCCAAGGAUAGUUUGCACAUGAUUAAUAUAAUAUAAUAUAUAGUAUAAUAUAAUAUAAUAUUGUAUUAUUGUACUGUAGAUUUCUCACAUUUUAUUAAUUGGGGAUAUACUUUAUUUAUCUAUUGCCAAUCCAAGAGUGAUUUCUAGAGUUACACAGCGGAGUACUACACAGGGGUAAAAAGUAAUGACAUUUUGAAAUUUGCAGGCAAAUGGAUAGAUCUAGAAAAGACUUAUUGAAUGAGGUAACCCAGACCCAUAAAGACGAAUAUAAUAUGUACUCACUCAUUAGUGGCUUUUAGACAUAAAGCAAAGAAAAACAGCUUAUAGUCCACAACCCCAGAGAACCUGAACAACAAAGAAGACCCUAAGAGGAUCUACGUAGGAAGGAGAAAAAGACAAUAUCUCCUAAAUAAAUUGAGAGUGUAUGGGUCAUGGGGGAGGGUAGAGUGGGAGAAGGGAGGGAGGAAGGAAGCAGAGGAAGAUAGCUCAAUAAAAAACAAUAAGAAUCUUAACAUAAAAAAGAGUGAUUUCACUCAAGGGAAUUGAGUGUAUUAUUUCAACACUUUUUAAUGAAUGGGGUUUAAGAGUUUGGAAUAGGGAAUGGCACUGAGCAACUUAGACACUAGCUCUGAGAACGGAUCCAUAGCUGGCUGAAGGCUUCCGUUCCUGUCUUAAAGAUUUCUUCCACUCAUCAUCAGUUAGUUAGUUCCCAUUGCAUGGCCCUUUCUUGUGUGAUAGAGGGAGGCAUCCAUAAACAAUGUCUGUCUUACCCAAACCAUAAGAUGGCCCAUGUCUCUCCUCAAUAAAUUUGGAGCACUCCUACAUUAUUGGGAAGAGUUGUAUUUUGAACUUCGAAUUAUAAUAGCAAGAGUAAAACACAUUAAAUCUGACAAAAAUAUUCAUUCCCAGAAGAAAUUGCAGAAGAUUUAUGAUCUUUAUCUACACUGGUUAUUGAAAUUCAUAUUUAUUUUGUCCUUUGGGCAUAGAGUUAUUUCAACUAAAAUAGCUUAUUAAUUUAGAGAAUUCCAAUUACCAGCUUUUAGAACAGAUCUACUUUGUAAUUUAUUAACUUUGAUGAUUGAUAUAUCUUCCAAAAACCUUCUUUAGUAAUAACUAUUUAAGCUUAUGGCCUGACAUACUUAAAGGAAAGAUUGAACUAAAUUUUAAAUAUUAGAAUUUACUUAAAGAGAGACCAUGGUCUACUUAAUAUGUUUUUCCUUAAAGUGUGGUGAAGAAAAACUAGGAUCAAGAUGUUCAGUUCAAUAUGGUCAAAAAUCAUCGUGUUUGUGUCUGUGGUGGGGGUGAGGGUGUAUAUGUGUACACUCUUGGUAACUAUGGAAACAAACGAAAAGGUCUGAAUUGGGGAAACAUUUACACAAUGGAGAAGAGAGGAGGAACUCGCCCUAAAUAAGGAAGUUGCAAAUGAAAAAUGAAGGUAUUUUGAAGAAAAGCAAAAAUUGAGCCAAAAAUAUAACUGUCUAAGAUUAUUAUGGAUGAUAUACAUUCACACAUGUAAUACAUAUGAUUGUAAAACAGUUUCUUGGGUUUUCUAGGCAUUAAAGAAAACAUAUAUACCUCUAUGUUUUAUUCUUCAGUAAUCUUACAUCCAAAUUUUCAUAUCUAUUACCUCUUGCAGUUGUCAAGUCCUUCAAGACACACAGUUCUGAGCAUGAUUCUGAACUCAGCUUUCCAGUUGCUAACCUCUAGCUUCCAUUUGCCCUAACUCCUUGAGUUAAUCAUCGCAUUUAAUCUCAUCUUUUAAAACCACCAAUACAAACUAGUUAAGGAGAAAUACUGUGUGCCUUCAUGUGUGUCUAUCUAAAUAUAGCAUAUAGGACUUCUAAUCAGCAAUAAAUAUCAUACUUAUCUUUUCUGUAUGCAUAUUGCAUAUUAUUAUAAUAAUGCAUUCCUAUUUCUUCCUACAUUUGAAGAAGAGCUAGCAGCUCCAGCGGCCAUUUAGGUCUUAGGAGGAUGUGUAGGAGGAUGUGUCAACUCCAUCUAUAUCAAUAGACUCUGAGUCUUCUUUGACGCUACCAACAAGCCAAUAUAGGCAAAGCCUCAGACUGAAUCUUGCAGAAUAGACACUGAGAGAAGGCUGUGUAUGUCAUAGCUUAGUUGGAACAUGAUACCAGGAAGUACAGGGAAGGCCAGGAAGUGAGAGCACACAUCUAUGGUAGAACAUGGGGCUGAUGGUCAAGGCAUGCAUCAAAAGUGACUACUUUUUCCAAAAUUCCCACUUGUUAUUGAUUGAAGACUGUUUCAAUGAACAAAGUGUUUUUAAUGCUUGCAAUCUGCCCUAUGGAGUUGGGGACAAAUCUGACCUCACUUCCAUAUUUGAGGCCAAGGCUAUGGUAGGAAAAGUCAGUAUUUAGGGAAUAUGAAAGAAGCAUCAGCCAUGAUAACUACCAAUACCAAUACAAAGACAGGAAUAGAAUUUGGAGGAGUGAUUUUCUUAGUACUAUUUGCUAGCUUGCAUUAGUUGUUGUUAUUGUUUGCUUCUGUUUUUUUUAAAUAAGAGCAAGAAUAGAGAUUCAAGAGGACAAUGAAAUUUCACUGUGACUUUCUUGAUUGUCAAUUAUAUUCUUAGUUUAAUUAACAUAUUCAUAUUUUCAUGCAGGAAUAUAUUUCAAAGUCAAAUAUAAAUGACAUUUACACUGCUGCUGUGACAUAUUCCUAUAGAUUUCUUGAGACCUGGUCUCAUGGUCUCUUGUAGACAAGGCUGGCCUCAAAUUCACAAUGUAGCGGAGGAUGAUCAUCAACUUCUGACCUUCCUGUGUCUAACUCCUAAUUUCUGGGAUCACAGGCAACCAUACCAGGUUUUUAUGCAGCGCUGAGGAUCAAAAACUGGAUUUCAUACAUGUUAGGCAAGCAUUCUACCAACGCAGCUACAAUCCCAGCCCUACACAUCACCCCCUUUUAUUAUUAUGUCUGGAGAGGCAGGGAUGGUGAAACAUCUUGUAAGCCAGGAAGAAAAGAGAGCAUGUGGGAUGAACGCUUUACCUCCUACUCUGCAAUUCCUUUUUUCUGUAGUUUCUACUGAGUACAGACAGCCUAGUUCCAUCUGGUUCCUGUGCCCUGUAACACUUUCAAUAUUUGAACCUUAUCUUCUGAUAUAAACUUCGGGCUAACUUUCCUCCAGGCCUUCUGCCCUGAUCCCUCUGUAUUUCCAAUACUCAGCUGCUGUCAAACUUGUGAGAAAUAAAAGAUUUUUUUACAGAUCCUGAGCAAAGAUCACAGACACGAACCUAGUUUAAAAUUACAAAAUCGAUAUUUUUAAAAAAGGAAUGAAAAACCCCAGGAAACCUCCAGGUUGUCUAAAAAGUCCUUAGUUCAAAGGUAGUAAUUCAGGGAUGAGGCUAAGGAUCUGAGUGUCAAUAGAAUUCUGGGUUUGAUAGGAAAUGAACGAUCUUUUUCAUGGUGGUUUGGGACUCUUUGACUUUAUGACCAUUGUACAAGGUGAAAGUGUGGGUGAGGGUGUUGGGGCUAGAGAAAGAAUGUGCAGAGGAAAGUUCAUCUUACCUCCCUCUAAUGCAGGCUCCUUAUUUUCUUAUAGAAGAAAAUAAGCAAAUUAACUUUAUUAUAAAACUCUCAGCAGUUUAGACAAAGAUUCUGUUUAAUACAAAGCUAAACUGGUAGGAGCUAACAGAACUGGUUGAAUAUAGAAACCACUGGGUUCUGCACUUUGAGGAUAUUAGCAUGUAGUCUUCAAGAUUUUGCAGAAAGAGUGUUGCUGUGCAGUUGGUAUGAAUUCUUCUAGAACCGACGCGAUGCAAGGCUCACUAUUCUAAGAAAAUGAAAAUACAUUGAUGUGUCUUCCUAUAGAGUUGGCUCAAUUUUGUCUUGGACCAGAUGGAAUAGUAUUGCUAACACAGACUACUUGUUUCAGAAUAUUAUCUUCCUCCAGUCUUUUGAGUGAGUUCCAUGAGUCAACAGUCCACCAUGCUAGCCCUACCUGGCGAAUUACCUCAGACUCUGUUCUCCAGGCAAAUCUUUUAUUCUUGUAGAAUUUGAAUCCCUGUUCUGAGAAAUUGUUAUUUUGUUUUUGACUACCCAGAAACCCAAGUUUUCACAAACUCUCAACCCAUUCCUCAAUGGGAAUCUUGCCAGGGUGGGCAGCACCAAUGUCUGGAGAUUUGCCACUACUAGGUCAUCCUUGAAUAUGUUCUCGGGCUCUUAGCAUCUUUUCCCUAGGAGCAGUCCUUACAAACCAGUUACUCAGAAUUCUUUAUUGAUAAAUGUACAGCUCCUGGGGAAAGUCCCUCUGUUUCUAAACAGAGCUAUAGGCAGAGUUUUCUAAUCUAACAUAUACUUUCAGACCUAGGCCAAACAUAGCUACAUUUGUUCUUAUUUUAAUAUUUUUUUACAGUGCAUAACAAAAAAUCCCACUUCAGUGAAACCCACAUUUUAGCCCUAGUGGAUAGAUUUUGAGGUGGUCCAGCAGUACUUAUAGGAAGGGGCAGCAUCACUGAAGCCAAAUAAGGAGAAGCAAUAAGUGGGCCGUGCUGGGAGUGGAGCCUCUACUGUGUCAGGAGCCCUUCAGCAAUCCUGGUUCAAGAGCACAGGGUCAGGGGAGACAUAAAAGUGUGGCUGGAUUCAUGUUGAGGUCUUUGAUUCAUUUGGACUUGAGUUUUGUGCAUGGGGAUAGAUAUGGCUCUAUUUGCAUGCUUCUAUAUGUUGACAUCUAAGCACUGGGCCGAGUUCCUGGAGCCCAGUCAUAAAGAGGAAGGAGCAAUAAUAUGAGCAAAGGGGUCAAGACCAUGAUGGGGAAACCCACAGAAUCAGCUGACCUGAGCAGGUGGGAGCUCACUGACUCCAGACUGACAGUUGGGGAACCUACAUAUGACCGAACUAGGCCUGCUGAAUGUGGGUGACAGUUGUGUGACUUAAGCGGUUUUGGGGGCCACUGAUAGUAUUUAUCUUUUUUUUUUUAUUUUUUUUUAUUGAGAAUAAGAAAAAAAAGUUUCCGCCUCCUCCCAGCCUCCCAUUUCCCUCCCCCUCCCCCCAAUCUUCUCCCCCUCCCCCUCUCUUCUCCCCCUCCCCCCACUCCUCUCACCCUCCCUCUCCUAUCCAAAGAGCAGUCAUGGUUCCCUGCCCUGUGGAAAGUCCAAGGUCCUCCCCCCUCCGUCCAUGUCUAGGAAGGUGAACGUCCAAACUGGCUAGGCUCCCACCAAGCCAGAACAUGAAGUAGGAUCAAAACCCCUUGUCAUUGAUCUUGGCUUCUCAUCAGUCCUCAUUGUUCGCCGUGAUCAGAGAGUCCGGUUUUAUCCCAUGCUGUUUCAGUCACAGUCCAGCUGGCUUUAGUGCAUGAACUGGCUUUUUGGAGCCCAUUCCCUGUGGAGUGAUACCUUGCUCAGCCUAGAUACAGGGGAGGGCCUUGGUCCUGCCUCAAGUGAUGUGACAGAUUUUGUUGAAUCCUCAUGGGAGGGGUGCAAGGAUCCUAGCAGGAAAGGAGAGGGAACUGAAAUUGGUAUGUAAAAUAAGAUUGUUUUAAAAAUUAUAAAAAUAAGAUAAUAAAAUAAACCUUUAAGCAAAGAGAAAAAUGGGGUGAUAUCCUUGGUGGAAGGCAUAUACUAUUAAACCAAGAUUGGGAAAUACUGUGUCAAAUAUUUGCUAUUUAUGCCUAGGACAGAGUCAGCAUAGAUUUCUCAUGGAUUCACCAGGGCACAGAUGCAGCAAGAAAGAAUAUAUAUUCUUUUGUUUCUCAGAAAACAGAGAGAUCAUAUGCCUUCCUUGUCCAAGACAGAUGAGUUUCCACUUGAAAUCUCGGGGUUUUCUGUUUUUCUUCUUACUUUCUAACAUGCCUCACUUUGGCCUAAGCAGGACCUGGUCAAUCCUUCAAAUGAGUUCAACUCAAUUCUAAGCAUAACCAUUAAAGUCUUAGAAUGAAGAUAAUAUUCUUCCAGACCCAGACUAAACUGGCUUAGUUUUCAGUAUAUCAAAGUAACCAAGCCUUGUCAAAAGUUGUUGAUCACAGAGGCUGAAGAGCCUAAGAGCACUUGCUGCCUUUGCAGAAGACCAAGUCUGAUGUGGGAUUUCUCUCUGUAUGCUAUAAUUACCAUUGAUUAAUAAAGAAGCUGCUUUGGACCUAUAGCAAGGCAGAACUUAACUAAGUAAGAAAACUAAACUGAAUGCUGGGAGGAAGAAGGCAGAGUCAGAGAGAAGCCAUGUGGCCCCACCAGAGACAGACACCAGAACUUUAUCUGGCAAGCCACAGCCUUAUAAACACAGAUUAAUGGAGAUGGAUUAGUUUAGGAUAUGAGUUAGCCAGAAAUACACUUAAGAUAUUAGCCAAACAGUAUUACAAAUAAUAUAGUUUCUUUGUGAUUAUUUCAGAGUUGAGCAACCAGAAAUGAACAAGUGGUCUCCUACUACACAAGUUUCCAACACAUACGUGACAACUAACUGGAAUUCCAUUGCAGAGGCUCAAAAAACCCUCUUCGGGCCUUUUUGAGUAUUAGAAUAAUCAAAGAUUAUUAGAAGUGGAGAGAAGACUCCUUGGUUAAGAGCGCUUGCUGCUCUUUCAAAGGACCCAGAUUCGGUUCCUUGCACUUACACAGAAGCUCAAAACCAUCUGUAACUCCAGUUCCAGUGGGUCUGAUG